Molecule: transfer RNA, 72 nt
Filed under: Chthonomonadaceae bacterium
Lineage: Bacteria; Bacillati; Armatimonadota; Chthonomonadia; Chthonomonadales; Chthonomonadaceae
Rfam family: tRNA
About the family: Transfer RNA (tRNA) molecules are approximately 80 nucleotides in length. Their secondary structure includes four short double-helical elements and three loops (D, anti-codon, and T loops). Further hydrogen bonds mediate the characteristic L-shaped molecular structure. tRNAs have two regions of fundamental functional importance: the anti-codon, which is responsible for specific mRNA codon recognition, and the 3' end, to which the tRNAs corresponding amino acid is attached (by aminoacyl-tRNA synthetases). tRNAs cope with the degeneracy of the genetic code in two manners: having more than one tRNA (with a specific anti-codon) for a particular amino acid; and 'wobble' base-pairing, i.e. permitting non-standard base-pairing at the 3rd anti-codon position.
Source: Rfam by way of RNAcentral
GCCCCUAUGGCUCAGUGGUAGAGCAGCUGUUUUGUAAACAGCAGGUCCUCCGUUCGAAUCGGAGUGGGGGCC